Molecule: ribosomal RNA, 468 nt
Filed under: uncultured bacterium
Lineage: Bacteria
Description: partial 16S ribosomal RNA
Rfam family: Bacterial small subunit ribosomal RNA
Source: RNAcentral
GACGAACGCUGGCGGCGUGCUUAACACAUGCCAGUCGAACGGAAAGGCCCUGCUUUUGUGGGGUGCUCGAGUGGCGAACGGGUGAGUAACACGUGAGUAACCUGCCCUUGACUUUGGGAUAACUUCAGGAAACUGGGGCUAAUACCGGAUAGGAGCUCCUGCUGCAUGGUGGGGGUUGGAAAGUUUCGGCGGUUGGGGAUGGACUCGCGGCUUAUCAGCUUGUUGGUGGGGUAGUGGCUUACCAAGGCUUUGACGGGUAGCCGGCCGGAGAGGGUGAGCGGCCACAUUGGGACUGGGAUACGGCCCAGACUCCUACGGGAGGCAGCAGUGGGGAAUAUUGCACAAUGGGCGGAAGCCUGAUGCAGCAACGCCGCGUGCGGGAUGACGGCCUUCGGGUUGUAAACCGCUUUCGCCUGUGACGAAGAGUGAGUGACGGUAAUGGGUAAAGAAGCACCGGCUAACUACGUG